Molecule: ribosomal RNA, 385 nt
Filed under: uncultured bacterium
Lineage: Bacteria
Description: bacterial SSU rRNA
Rfam family: Bacterial small subunit ribosomal RNA
Source: RNAcentral
AUUGAACGCUGGCGGAAUGCUUUACACAUGCAAGUCGAGCGGCAGCGCGGGGCAACCUGGCGGCGAGCGGCGAACGGGUGAGUAAUGCAUCGGAACGUACCCAGUCGUGGGGGAUAACUGUCCGAAAGGACAGCUAAUACCGCAUACGUCCUGAGGGAGAAAGCGGGGGAUCGCAAGACCUCGCGCGAUUGGAGCGGCCGAUGCCGGAUUAGCUAGUUGGUAGGGUAAAGGCCUACCAAGGCGACGAUCCGUAGCUGGUCUGAGAGGACGACCAGCCACACUGGAACUGAGACACGGUCCAGACUCCUACGGGAGGCAGCAGUGGGGAAUUUUGGACAAUGGGCGAAAGCCUGAUCCAGCCAUGCCGCGUGCGGGAAGAAGGCCU